RNAcentral lists this ribosomal RNA (251 nucleotides) under uncultured prokaryote. RNAcentral describes it as "partial 16S rRNA". It matches the Rfam family "Bacterial small subunit ribosomal RNA", at positions 525 to 775 of the family's 1533-position model. The record is from RNAcentral.
ACGGGGGGUGCGAGCGUUGUUCGGAAUUAUUGGGCGUAAAGAGCGUGUAGGCGGCUGAAUAAGUCAGAUGUGAAAUCCCUGGGCUUAACCCAGGACGUGCAAUUGAUACUAUUGUGCUUGAGUAGGGGAGAGGAGGGUGGAAUGCCUGAUGUAGAGGUGAAAUGCUUAGAUAUGAGGAGGAACACCGGUGGCGAAGGCGGCUUACUGGGCUGAUACUGACGCUGAGGCGCGAGAGCGUGGGGAGCAAACAG